CCUACGGGUGGCAGCAGUGAGGAAUAUUGGUCAAUGGCCGCAGGGCUGAACCAGCCACGUCGCGUGAGGGAUGACGGUCCUAUGGAUCGUAAACCUCUUUUGUCAGGGAGCAAAGGGAGCCACGUGUGGAGUUUUGCGUGUACCUGACGUACAAGCAUAGGAAAACCCCGUGCCAGCAGCCGAGGUAAUAUGAGGGAGGCGAGGGUUAUCGGGAUUGGUUGGGUUAAAGGGGUGCGCAGGCGGAAUGUAAAGUCAGCGGUAAAAUUACGGGGCUCAACCCCGUCGUGCCGUUGAAACUGGCGGUCUUGAGUGAGCGAGAAGAAUGUGGAAUGCGUGGUGUAGCAGUGAAAUGCAUAGAUAUCACGAAGAACUCCGAUUGCGAAGGCAGCAAACCGGUGCUCAACUGACGCUCAGGCACGAAAGCGUGGGUAUCGAACAGGAUUAGAUACCCUAGUAGUC
Molecule: ribosomal RNA, 459 nt
Filed under: uncultured bacterium
Lineage: Bacteria
Description: partial 16S ribosomal RNA
Rfam family: Bacterial small subunit ribosomal RNA
Source: RNAcentral